CGGCGGCCGUGGCGGCCAGCGCCCUGGGUCCGCAGCUCUAAGGCUCCCAGCGGGCGCUGCCCAUGGGCCGGGCCCAGGCAUCGGGUGCGCAGGGAGCCGCUAAGCCUGUUGCCCACAAAGGCAAGACCGGGUACAUUCAUAGCCUGCACAGGCACAGCUUCUGAGCUCAGGCCUAAGGAAGCCCCGACAUCCUCACAGCAUCCCCUCAGACACCAGAGGACACAAGAGACCAAAACUAGAGUGAGGGCAGACUCACUCAGGGAGCUGGGGUCAGGCUCUGCCACAGGAGCAGCAGGGGUGGUGUGAGCAGGUGAGACUCAGAGUUCCUGGAGGACCCUGUGGUGAGGCCACAUGACACCAUGAUUGAGAACAAGGGUCUGUUUAAACAGUCACAGGCUUGGCCAAGACACAUCAAGGCAGGCAUGCCCCAGACCCUGAGCACCUCCAACAUGGUCACCCCAGGCAGCCUCAGCCCACCUCCUCCAGAGCCCACAGAUGGCGAGCAGGCCCAGCAACCCCUCCUGCAAGGAGCUCCAUCCUCAGCCUCCCUGGAAACACUGAUCCAGCACCUGGUGCCCACAGCUGACUACUACCCCGAGAAAGCCUACAUCUUCACCUUCCUGUUGAGCUCUCGCCUCUUCAUUGAGCCCCGGGACCUCCUGGCCCAGGUUUGCCACCUGUGCAUAGAGCAGCAGCAGCUGGACAAGCCGGUGCUGGACAAGGCGCGGGUCCGGAAGUUUGGUCCCAAACUGCUCCAGCUGUUGGCCGAGUGGACAGAGACCUUCCCACGGGACUUCCAGGAGGAGUCGGCCAUCGGGCACCUGAAGGACGUGGUGGGCCUCAUUGCCCCCUGUGACGAGGCAUACCGGAAGAGGAUGCAGCAGCUCCUGCAGGCACUGCACCAGAGGCUAGCAGUCCUGGGUCAGGGCCCAGAAGGUCUGAUGGGCGCCGACAAGCCCAUCUCCUACAGGACCAAGCCGCUGGCCUCCAUCCACAGGGAGCUCCUUGGCAUCUGUAGUGACCCCUACACGCUGGCCCAGCAGCUGACCCACGUGGAGCUGGGGAGCAGGUCACUUCAGUUACCUGGUGUUCAGCCUGCUUCCCUUGAACGUCAGCCCCCACAUGCAGCGCUCCCCAACCCCAUGGACCAAAAGGAAGGACUGCCUCUUUCAGGGAUGGUACUGAGCCCUGUGACAACUCAGGACAAGUUCUCCACGCCCCAGAGUAGGUGGAGAGAGACAUUGGGGGGUGGCCUGGGAUAUCAGGGAGCCCAACAGGAGGACCCUCCCCAGACCUGCCCUCCCCUUCGCCUCUUCUCCCUUCCCCUGCAGGAACGGCUGCGACACAUCGGGCCUGAAGAGUUUGUCCAGGCUUUUGUGAACAAGGACCCUCUAGCCAGCACAAAGCCUUGUUUCAGUGACAAGACUAAUAACCUGGAGGCUUAUGUGAAAUGGUUCAACAGAUUGUGCUACCUCGUGGCAACCGAGAUCUGCAUGCCAGCCAAGAAGAAACAGAGGGCCCAGGUGAUCGAGUUCUUCAUUGAUGUGGCCCGAGAGUGCUUCAACAUCGGCAACUUCAACUCUCUGAUGGCCAUCAUCUCGGGCAUGAACAUGAGCCCUGUCUCCAGGCUGAAGAAGACCUGGGCCAAAGUGAAGACGGCCAAGUUUUUCAUCCUCGAGCACCAGAUGGACCCAACAGGGAACUUUUGCAACUACAGGACAGCCCUGCGAGGGGCUGCCCACCGCUCCCUGACCGCCCACAGCAGCCGGGAAAAGAUCGUCAUUCCCUUCUUCAGUUUGCUCAUCAAAGACAUCUACUUCCUCAACGAGGGCUGCGCCAACCGCCUUCCCAAUGGACAUGUCAACUUUGAGAUCCCCGAGAUCACUGGUAGGUGGGAAAGAGGCUUUCCUGGGGCCAGUCACUCACACUCACAGGGACCUCCAGUCACUGGGGUGCCUCCAUUCUGUGUCUCUGUGACCCUGGCAGAAAUUUUUGGAGCUGGCCAAGCAGAUUGGAGAGUUCAUCACAUGGAAACAAGUGGAGUGUCCCUUCAAGCAAGACCCCAGCAUCACCCACUACCUGUACACCGCCCCCAUCUUCAGUGAGGAUGGUCUUUAUUUGGCUUCUUAUGAAAGUGAAAACCCAGAGAACCAGACAGAAAAAGAGAGGUGGAAAUCUCUAAGAUCUUCUAUUUUGGGGAAGACAUGAGAAGCGCUGAGUGGAAGGAGAGGAAGAGAUGGAGGCAGCAGAAGCCUUCUGCAGCCCUGCCCCAGAUGGCCCCAUGGGCAGAAGCAGAGGCAGUGCCUCACUGUUUUGCAAACCGAGACCCCAUGGCCCGGCACCCACCAUAGUGGCCACAUGGGCCCAGGAGAUCUUUUGUGGGACCCCAGCCCUGGCAGGGCCCAGGGAUUCCAGAUACCUCGAGGACACCCUGCCUUCAGGACUGUGGGGGUCAUGUUGCUGGUCAAUCUGUCCGUCCUCGGUGAGGACAUAGCACUGCCCCAGAGGGUCAGGCAACUGCAGUCUUGUGCUCCCCGUGAGUGAUGUGUGCCUCUUUGACCAACGCCCAUAGUCUGGCACCAGUGGCUUGGAGCCUCUGCAGCUGCAGCAGGCAUCACGGUGUGACAUGGGGUGUGUCUGUGCCCACCAGGGGCCCUGAGCUUCUGUCAGUGGACCUGUCCCCUACCCCUCCCAGGGGGC
RNA transcript from Nycticebus coucang (slow loris), 2700 nucleotides. It is a transcript of the gene named RasGEF domain family member 1C, with no coding region annotated. NCBI's taxonomy places the organism in Eukaryota, Metazoa, Chordata, Mammalia, Primates, Lorisidae. The transcript has 16 exons. The record is from RefSeq and is a predicted model, not a curated record.